AAAUCCAUGUUGUGUCAAUUAGCUCCAUUCUUCAAACCUGGAAGGAAAUGUUCGAGUUCCGUAGAAAAACCCUGAAGGGCUGUUGAUCCAAACGCCAGCGUAUGUGAGCCCCUCGGGCAUACAAUUUCUGCUGGAAAACCGUAGACUGGGCCAAAACAGAGUCUGGCUGGAGGCCUGGGGUCAAAGAGCCUGAUGAUGCUGUGGAUACAGGUCAGCCUCUCCGGCCGGAGGAGGUCAGAGGAAAGCAGGAAGGAGUGUGGGGCGGCCCGCAGAGCACAGCCCGUGCGACAGCCAGCGCAGCACAGUGCACAGGGAUGGGGCGGAAGGAAAGCGGGAGAAGCCGCGGUGCAGACGCGCCCGACGCGAGGCCGCGCACAGACAGCACUGCGGACUCCGCGCUCCCGCCCCUGGCUCCCAGCCUGGAAAACGCCGCUUCUCUGAAGCUUGCCUUC
This 452-nucleotide long non-coding RNA is filed under the name Equus caballus (horse). RNAcentral describes it as "lncRNA (ENSECAG00000052979.1)". The record is from RNAcentral. Lineage: Eukaryota; Metazoa; Chordata; Mammalia; Perissodactyla; Equidae.